UUGCCAGGAAUUUUUCCUUUUCACUAUUAUUCUCAUCUCUUUGCUAUUGAGUUUACCAGGUAAGUUUUUUAUCUUGCCUUAUGAUUUAGGUCUUGCAGUCGCCCGCCAGCCGUGGUCUCAGUUUCAGCUGGACAUUCUAGAUCUGAGUAGGGCACAUCUGGCACCAGGUCACUGGGAAGGCUGCAGGACGCACACCGCCCCUGUGGCAGGCCAUCUCUCCGUGGUGGUGGUCUCUGUAGCAGGUGACGCAGCGGUCCACUGGCUAUUCUCAGAUCACCCAAGUGACUUCUCAGGCGUCCAGCUGGAGUUGGUUCGAGUACUGACUCAGCAUCUUGAAAUGCCCUCGACAAGGACCUAAGUGCCCCCCUUCUCUGAGCUGACCUUCUCGGGGCAUAAAUCAUCCCACCCCUCAUGGUCCCAAGGUGUCAAUGCCAGAAUGAAAAGGGAGAUUUAACGCUGGCCACACUGUUGAGUGCCUGUAGGAGCCAGGUGGGAGCUGGGUGACAGGAGGGCUUCCAGAUGGAAACAACACCAAGUCCCUGCCCUCUGGGAAUUCAGCAUCCGAAGGGGAGCAGACAAUGUUCAGGUGAG
Long non-coding RNA from Herpailurus yagouaroundi (jaguarundi), 591 nucleotides. RefSeq lists it as uncharacterized. The transcript has 3 exons. Lineage: Eukaryota; Metazoa; Chordata; Mammalia; Carnivora; Felidae. The record is from RefSeq and is a predicted model, not a curated record.